This 695-nucleotide ribosomal RNA is filed under the name uncultured bacterium. Its description in RNAcentral is "bacterial SSU rRNA". It matches the Rfam family "Bacterial small subunit ribosomal RNA", at positions 57 to 762 of the family's 1533-position model. The record is from RNAcentral.
GCAGUCGAACGGUAACAUGUUUGUAGCAAUACAAAUGAUGACGAGUGGCGGACGGGUGAGUAACACGUAAAUAAUCUUCCCUUUGGACGGGGACAACCCAUGGAAACGUGGGCUAAUACCCGAUAAGAACAUCGAGUCUCAUGACUUGAUGCGGAAAUCACUUAGAUGGCCGAUGGAUGAAUUUGCGUCUGAUUAGCUAGUUGGAGAGGUAAUGGCUCACCAAGGCGAUGAUCAGUAGCUGGUCUGAGAGGACGAACAGCCACACUGGAACUGAGACACGGUCCAGACUCCUACGGGAGGCAGCAGUGAGGAAUUUUGCUCAAUGGGCGCAAGCCUGAAGCAGCGACGCCGCGUGAAUGAUGAAGUUCUUCGGAAUGUAAAGUUCUUUUGGCAGGGAAAAUAAUGAUUGUACCUGCAGAAUAAGCACCGGCAAACUAUGUGCCAGCAGCCGCGGUAAUACAUAGGGUGCAAGCGUUGUCCGGAAUUACUGGGCGUAAAGAGCGUGUAGGCGGCUUUUUAAGUCGUAACCUUAAAUACAGGGGCUCAACCCCUGUCAGGGUUCGAUACUGAUAAGCUAGAGAUUGGGAGAGGAAAGCGGAACUCACAGUGUAGCGGUGAAAUGCGUAGAUAUUGUGAGGAACACCCGUGGCGAAGGCGGCUUUCUGGACCAUUUCUGACGCUGAGACGCGAAGCGU